AAAUUCAAUCGUCCAAAACAAUGUGUCCUGCCGCCGCUGCCGCUGCCGCUGCCGCCGGUGGAAGUCAGAAUUCCUGAAGCUGUUCUUACGCCGCACUUCACUCAAUCCCUCCAAAACUUAUGCUUCUCCGUCUUCAAAAGGUGGUGUCAAUCACAAGGUAUAUUCUUAAUUACCAGUUGUUUGAUUCUUAAUUAAAGGGUUUGAGAUUUUUAACAUGCUUAGUAUUGGGGACGCGAUAUAACUGGUUCGGUAUAUGCUCGCUAGGUCUUAACACUGAAUUUGCUAUCGUCCUUUUUGUUCCGGCGUUGUUGUUUACGUUGUUACUUGGCGAAUGAAAAAAAUGAAAAUUAUAAAUAUGUUGAUGGUGGAUCUUCAAUCUCAUUUCCAGUAAUAUCCAUCAACAAUUUAUGAUUAGUAUAAUAUAAAACACACAUUCCAACGUACAUAAAGACAUCCACUUAUUUAUACAUUUAUAGUAUGAAUUAUAUAUAUUCAUAGUCACAUAUGUACGACGUACAUACAUAUUGACAGAUACAAUAUUUAGAACUACAACCUAUAGGUGAAAAAAAAGAAGAAAAAAGAAAGAAAUUACAUAGUAGUUUCAGGAAAGAAUAGAUAAGAAAAUCAUGUUUAAGCAAUACCAUUCUAGGAAGAGUACUUUAUGCUUUAUGAAUAAUUUUUGUGUGAGCAUCUCAUUGCUUUUCAAAGCUAUAACUUAUAUUUCCCUAAAAUGUACUGGCUCUAUAUUAUUGAUUAGAAUUAUUUUUCUUUUUAUAUAUUUCUAACUAGUAAUUUGUUCAAGAACUGCCAAGGUUUGCCUUUGUUUUAAAUUAUGCAAUAUAUGAUUUAUUCAUUUUUCUCCUACGUAUACCGGAAAAGGAAAUCACAAAAUAAAUAGUUAGAAUGAGCCAUUUUGACUAGGAAU
RNAcentral lists this long non-coding RNA (925 nucleotides) under Nicotiana benthamiana. RNAcentral's name for it is "long non-coding RNA (NBEN_LNC030532)". The record is from RNAcentral. Lineage: Eukaryota; Viridiplantae; Streptophyta; Magnoliopsida; Solanales; Solanaceae.